UACGGAGGUUGCAAGCGUUGUUCGGAAUGACUGGGCGUAAAGGGAGCGCAGGCGGCCAAGUCAGUCUGAAGUGAAAGCCCGGGGCUUAACCCCGGAAUAGCUUUGGAUACUGCCUGGCUUGAGUGUGCGAUAGGAAAGCGGAAUUCCAGGUGUAGCGGUGAAAUGCGUAGAUAUCUGGAGGAACACCGGUGGCGAAAGCGGCUUUCUGGCGCAUAACUGACGCUGAGGCUCGAAAGCGUGGGGAGCGAACGGGAUUAGAUACCCCUGUAGU
Molecule: ribosomal RNA, 271 nt
Filed under: uncultured prokaryote
Description: partial 16S ribosomal RNA
Rfam family: Bacterial small subunit ribosomal RNA
Source: RNAcentral